AGUGAACGCUGGCGGUAGGCCUAACACAUGCAAGUCGAACGGCAGCACAGUAAGAGCUUGCUCUUACGGGUGGCGAGUGGCGGACGGGUGAGGAAUACAUCGGAAUCUACUUUUUCGUGGGGGAUAACGUAGGGAAACUUACGCUAAUACCGCAUACGACCUACGGGUGAAAGCAGGGGAUCUUCGGACCUUGCGCGAUUGAAUGAGCCGAUGUCGGAUUAGCUAGUUGGCGGGGUAAAGGCCCACCAAGGCGACGAUCCGUAGCUGGUCUGAGAGGAUGAUCAGCCACACUGGAACUGAGACACGGUCCAGACUCCUACGGGGGGCAGCAGUGGGGAAUAUUGGACAAUGGGCGCAAGCCUGAUCCAGCCAUACCGCGUGGGUGAAGAAGGCCUUCGGGUUGUAAAGCCCUUUUUGUUGGGAAAGAAAAGCAGCAGGUUAAUACCCCGCUGUUCUGACGGUACCCAAAGAAUAAGCACCGGCUAACUUCGUG
This 493-nucleotide ribosomal RNA is filed under the name uncultured bacterium. RNAcentral describes it as "partial 16S ribosomal RNA". It matches the Rfam family "Bacterial small subunit ribosomal RNA", at positions 29 to 507 of the family's 1533-position model. The record is from RNAcentral.